AACGUAGGAGGCGAACGUUAUCCGGAUUUACUGGGCGUAAAGCGCGUGUAGGUGGUUUGGUAAGUAGGGCGUGAAAGCUCCUGGCUCAACUGGGAGAGGCCGUUCUAAACUACAGAACUAGAGGAUGGUAGAGGGAGGUGGAAUUCCAGGUGUAGCGGUGGAAUGCGCAGAUAUCUGGAGGAACACCGGUGGCGAAGGCGGCCUCCUGGACCAUUCCUGACACUCAGACGCGAAAGCUAGGGUAGCAAACGGG
This 253-nucleotide ribosomal RNA is filed under the name uncultured prokaryote. RNAcentral describes it as "partial 16S ribosomal RNA". It matches the Rfam family "Bacterial small subunit ribosomal RNA", at positions 524 to 776 of the family's 1533-position model. The record is from RNAcentral.